RNAcentral lists this ribosomal RNA (448 nucleotides) under uncultured bacterium. RNAcentral describes it as "bacterial SSU rRNA". It matches the Rfam family "Bacterial small subunit ribosomal RNA", at positions 355 to 825 of the family's 1533-position model. The record is from RNAcentral.
UGGGGAAUCUUGGACAAUGGGCGAAAGCCUGAUCCAGCCAUGCCGCGUGAGUGACGAAGGUCUUCGGAUUGUAAAGCUCUUUUUGGCGGGGACGAUAAUGACGGUACCCGCAGAAUAAGCCCCGGCUAACUUCGUGCCAGCAGCCGCGGUAAUACGAAGGGGGCUAGCGUUGUUCGGAAUUACUGGGCGUAAAGCGCACGUAGGCGGAUUUGUAAGUCAGGGGUGAAAUCCCGGGGCUCAACCUCGGAACUGCCCUUGAUACUGCAAAUCUCGAGUCCGAUAGAGGUGAGUGGAAUUCCUAGUGUAGAGGUGAAAUUCGUAGAUAUUAGGAAGAACACCAGUGGCGAAGGCGGCUCACUGGAUCGGUACUGACGCUGAGGUGCGAAAGCGUGGGGAGCAAACAGGAUUAGAUACCCCUGUAGUCCCUGAGCGGGCUGGCAAGGCGCAU